CAGUCGCGCGGUAAUACAGAGGGUGCAAGCGUUAAUCGGAAUUACUGGGCGUAAAGCGCGCGUAGGUGGUUUGUUAAGUUGGAUGUGAAAUCCCCGGGCUCAACCUGGGAACUGCAUCCAAAACUGGCAAGCUAGAGUAUGGUAGAGGGUGGUGGAAUUUCCUGUGUAGCGGUGAAAUGCGUAGAUAUAGGAAGGAACACCAGUGGCGAAGGCGACCACCUGGACUGAUACUGACACUGAGGUGCGAAAGCGUGGGGAGCAAACAGGAUUAGAUACCCCUGUAGUCCCUGUCUCUUAUACA
RNAcentral lists this ribosomal RNA (301 nucleotides) under uncultured bacterium. RNAcentral describes it as "partial 16S ribosomal RNA". It matches the Rfam family "Bacterial small subunit ribosomal RNA", at positions 509 to 808 of the family's 1533-position model. The record is from RNAcentral.